This 510-nucleotide ribosomal RNA is filed under the name uncultured Glomus. RNAcentral describes it as "SSU rRNA". It matches the Rfam family "Eukaryotic small subunit ribosomal RNA", at positions 583 to 1095 of the family's 1831-position model. Lineage: Eukaryota; Fungi; Glomeromycota; Glomeromycetes; Glomerales; Glomeraceae. The record is from RNAcentral.
UUCCAGCUCCAAUAGCGUAUAUUAAAGUUGUUGCAGUUAAAAAGCUCGUAGUUGAAUUUCGGGAUCAAUUUACUGGUCGUGCUAUCGUACGUACUGGUUUUAUUGAUUCCUACCUUCUGACGAACCAUGAUGUCAUUAAUUUGGUGUCAUGGGGAAUCAGGACUGUUACUUUGAAAAAAUUAGAGUGUUUAAAGCAGGCUCACGCUUGAAUACAUUAGCAUGGAAUAACGAAAUAGGACGUUUGAUUCUAUUUUGUUGGUUUCUAGGAUCGACGUAAUGAUUAAUAGGGAUAGUUGGGGGCAUUAGUAUUCAAUUGUCAGAGGUGAAAUUCUUGGAUUUAUUGAAGACUAACUACUGCGAAAGCAUUUGCCAAGGAUGUUUUCAUUAAUCAAGAACGAAAGUUAGGGGAUCGAAGACGAUCAGAUACCGUCGUAGUCUUAACCAUAAACUAUGCCGACUAGGGAUCGGAUGAUGUUAAUUUUUUAAUGACUCAUUCGGCGCCUUAGGGGA